GAUGAAGAACGCAGCGAAAUGCGAUACGUAAUGUGAAUUGCAGAAUUCAGUGAAUCAUCGAAUCUUUGAACGCAUAUUGCGCUCUCUGGUAUUCCGGAGAGCAUGCUUGUUUGAGUAUCAGUAAACACCUCAACUUCCAUAUCUUUUUUGAAAUGGGAGUUGGACUUGAGUGAUCCCAACGCUUUUCCUCACCGAAAAGUGGCGGGUUACUUGAAAUGCAGGAGCAGCUGGACUUUUCUCUGAGCUAUAAGCAUAUCUAUUUAGUCUGCCUAAAAAACAGAUUAUUACCUUUGCUGCAGCUAACAUAAAGGAGAUUAGUUCUUGUGCUGACUGAUGCAGGAUUCACAAAGACAGGCUUCGGCCGACUUUGUAAACUCGAUCUCAAAUCAAGUAAGACUACCCGCUGAACUUAAGCAUAUCAAUAAGCGGAGGA
RNAcentral lists this unclassified non-coding RNA (433 nucleotides) under soil metagenome. Its description in RNAcentral is "partial contains 5.8S ribosomal RNA, internal transcribed spacer 2, and large subunit ribosomal RNA". The stretch from base 1 to 120 matches the Rfam family "5.8S ribosomal RNA", at positions 35 to 154 of the family's 154-position model. The record is from RNAcentral.